Molecule: ribosomal RNA, 266 nt
Filed under: uncultured Chlamydiales bacterium
Lineage: Bacteria; Pseudomonadati; Chlamydiota; Chlamydiia; Chlamydiales
Description: partial 16S ribosomal RNA
Rfam family: Bacterial small subunit ribosomal RNA
Source: RNAcentral
GUGGAUGAGGCAUGCAAGUCGAACGAAUAAGUAGCAAUACUUAUUAGUGGCGGAAGGGUUAGUAAUACAUGGAUAACCUGCCUCUAACUUUGGAAUAACACUUGGAAACGGGUGCUAAUACUGGAUGUGACGAUUUUUAGGAUCUAAGAAUCGUUAAAGCGGGGGAUCGAAAGACCUUGCGGUUAGAGAGGGGUCCAUGGGAUAUCAGCUAGUUGGUGAGGUAAUGGCUCACCAAGGCUAAGACGUCUAGGCGGAUUGAGAGAUUG